GACGAACGCUGGCGGCGUGCUUAACACAUGCAAGUCGAGCGGUAAGGCCCUUUCGGGGGUACGACGAGCGGCGAACGGGUGAGUAACACGUGGGUGACCUGCCCUCAGCUCUGGGAUAAGCCUGGGAAACCGGGUCUAAUACCGGAUAUGACUCCAUGACGCAUGUUGUGGGGUGGAAAGCCUUGUGCGGCUGAGGAUGGGCCCGCGGCCUAUCAGCUUGUUGGUGGGGUGGAUGGCCUACCAAGGCGACGACGGGUAGCCGGCCUGAGAGGGCGACCGGCCACACUGGGACUGAGACACGGCCCAGACUCCUACGGGAGGCAGCAGUGGGGAAGUCUUGCGCAAUGGGCGAAAGCCUGACGCAGCGACGCCGCGUGAGGGAUGACGGCCU
Molecule: ribosomal RNA, 391 nt
Filed under: uncultured bacterium
Lineage: Bacteria
Description: bacterial SSU rRNA
Rfam family: Bacterial small subunit ribosomal RNA
Source: RNAcentral